Nicotiana attenuata is the source of this 74-nucleotide transfer RNA. It matches the Rfam family "tRNA". Rfam says of the family: Transfer RNA (tRNA) molecules are approximately 80 nucleotides in length. Their secondary structure includes four short double-helical elements and three loops (D, anti-codon, and T loops). The record is from Rfam. NCBI's taxonomy places the organism in Eukaryota, Viridiplantae, Streptophyta, Magnoliopsida, Solanales, Solanaceae.
UACCACAUAGCCAAGUGGAUCAAGGCAGUGGAUUGUGAAUCUACCACGCGCGGGUUCAAUCCCCGUCGUUCUAC